AAAGUUUGAUCCUGGCUCAGAUUGAACGCUGGCGGCAUGCCUUACAYAUGCAAGUCGAACGGCAGCACGGGAGCAAUCCUGGUGGCGAGUGGCGAACGGGUGAGUAAUAUAUCGGAACGUGCCCAGUCGUGGGGGAUAACGCAGCGAAAGCUGUGCUAAUACCGCAUACGAUCUCUGGAUGAAAGCGGGGGACUCGCAAGAGCCUCGCGCGAUUGGAGCGGCCGAUAUCAGAUUAGCUAGUUGGUGGGGUAAAGGCUCACCAAGGCGACGAUCUGUAGCUGGUCUGAGAGGACGACCAGCCACACUGGAACUGAGACACGGUCCAGACUCCUACGGGAGGCAGCAGUGGGGAAUUUUGGACAAUGGGCGCAAGCCUGAUCCAGCAAUGCCGCGUGCAGGAUGAAGGCCUUCGGGUUGUAAACUGCUUUUGUACGGAACGAAACGGUUCUCUCUAAUAAAGAGGGCUAAUGACGGUACCGUAAGAAUAAGCACCGGCUAACUACGUGCCAGCAGCCGCGGUAAUACGUAGGGUGCGAGCGUUAAUCGGAAUUACUGGGCGUAAAGCGUGCGCASGCGGUGAUGUAAGACAGAUGUGAAAUCCCCGGGCUCAACCUGGGACCUGCAUUUGUGACUGCAUCRCUAGAGUACGGUAGAGGGGGAUGGAAUUCCGCGUGUAGCASUGAAAUGCGUAGAUAUGCGGAGGAACACCGAUGGCGAAGGCAAUCCCCUGGACCUGUACUGACGCUCAUGCACGAAAGCGUGGGGAGCAAACAGGAUUAGAUACCCUGGUAGUCCACGCCCUAAACGAUGUCAACUACGUGUUGGGGGGAGGAGACUUCCUUAGUACCGCARCUAACGCGUGAAKUUGACCGCCUGGGGAGUACGGGCCGCAAGGUUGAAACUCARAGGRAWUUGACGGGKACCCSSWCMAKCGGUGSAUUAUKKGGAAUUAAUUCGAUGCAACGCGAAAACUUACCUAUCCUUGAACWKKUCAAAMRRUCGCAAARAUGKGAUGUGCCCGAAAGSGCAAUCYKGACYCMGGGUGCUGCAUGCGUGYGYCRSCYGGUGUCCGUGRAUGUGGUUAAUUCCGCCACGASGCCACCGUUGUCUAAUGCCWCRAUUAUGGACWYUUUWRUGAACSUGGCGCGUKAUAUYACUCGAAGAGAAAGAUGUGG
Molecule: ribosomal RNA, 1175 nt
Filed under: uncultured bacterium
Lineage: Bacteria
Description: partial 16S ribosomal RNA
Rfam family: Bacterial small subunit ribosomal RNA
Source: RNAcentral